Triticum urartu is the source of this 126-nucleotide non-coding RNA. NCBI's taxonomy places the organism in Eukaryota, Viridiplantae, Streptophyta, Magnoliopsida, Poales, Poaceae. The record is from Rfam.
AAAUUACUCCCUCCGUUCGAAAAAUUUUGUCCCUAAAAUAAAUGUAUCUAUCACCAAGUUAGUGCUAGAUACAUCAAUUUGAUGAAUAAGUUUGAGACAAGCUUUUUCAGACGUAGGGAGUAUAAG